GCUCUUGUGGCGCAAUUGGCUAGCGCGUUCGGCUGUUACGGGCUUAUGUAAUCAUUAGAUAAGCAUCUGCAACCGGAAGGUUGGUGGUUCAAGCCCACCCAGGAGCG
Non-coding RNA from Borealophlyctis nickersoniae, 107 nucleotides. The record is from the annotation of a GenBank genome assembly. Lineage: Eukaryota; Fungi; Chytridiomycota; Chytridiomycetes; Rhizophlyctidales; Borealophlyctidaceae.